RNAcentral lists this ribosomal RNA (468 nucleotides) under uncultured bacterium. RNAcentral describes it as "partial 16S ribosomal RNA". It matches the Rfam family "Bacterial small subunit ribosomal RNA", at positions 28 to 507 of the family's 1533-position model. The record is from RNAcentral.
GACGAACGCUGGCGGCGUGCUUAACACAUGCAAGUCGAACGGAAAGGCCCUGCUUUUGUGGGGUGCUCGAGUGGCGAACGGGUGAGUAACACGUGAGUAACCUGCCCUUGACUUUGGGAUAACUUCAGGAAACUGGGGCUGAUACCGGAUAGGAGCUCCUGCUGCAUGGUGGGGGUUGGAAAGUUUCGGCGGUUGGGGAUGGACUCGCGGCUUAUCAGCUUGUUGGUGGGGUAGUGGCUUACCAAGGCUUUGACGGGUAGCCGGCCUGAGAGGGUGACCGGCCACAUUGGGACUGAGAUACGGCCCAGACUCCUACGGGAGGCAGCAGUGGGGAAUAUUGCACAAUGGGCGGAAGCCUGAUGCAGCAACGCCGCGUGCGGGAUGAAGGCCUUCGGGUUGUAAACCGCUUUCGCCUGUGACGAAGCGUGAGUGGCGGUAAUGGGUAAAGAAGCACCGGCUAACUACGUG